This 253-nucleotide ribosomal RNA is filed under the name uncultured bacterium. RNAcentral describes it as "partial 16S ribosomal RNA". It matches the Rfam family "Bacterial small subunit ribosomal RNA", at positions 524 to 776 of the family's 1533-position model. The record is from RNAcentral.
GACAGAGGGGGCAAGCGUUGCUCGGAAUUACUGGGCGUAAAGGGCGCGUAGGCGGAAUGGCAAGUCGGUCGUGAAAUCCUUCGGCUCAACCGAAGAACGUCGAUCGAAACUGCCGUUCUUGAGGAUUGCAGAGGAGACUGGAAUUCCCGGUGUAGCGGUGAAAUGUGUAGAGAUCGAGAGGAACACCAGUGGCGAAGGCGAGUCCCUGGACAACACCUGACACUGAGGCACGAAAGCGUGGGGAGCGAACAGG